UCAAUGACGUCGAGUUUUUGCAAACGUACAACAAAGACUACACAAUUCCUAUUUUUUGUUAUUAAUUUUCGACAUUAGAAAUAAUCCAUGCAUUUAAAUGACGAGGGUCGAGACGCAUUUCGGUGAUCAAAAGUCGUUUAUUAAUUGGUCAUUGGCCUGACGUGCCUGCAACAACAAAAGCAUUGGCGGUAUUAUAACGAGGUCGUUUUGUUGGUUCCUGUUGACCGAUUAUAUAAUAUAUUAUUUAGAAAUAUCUUAAAGGCUGCAUCACCCAUCAUGUAUGUCAAUUAGAAAGCAAUUCAAUUGUUUGUAAAGCAAUCCUAAUCGAAAACUUCGUGUUUGUGUGUGUGGGAUAGAGGCGAUAACCCAACCAACCAAUGACGUAAUGAUUCCCGGCACGUGCGCUCGGUCUCGAGUCUGCCUCCAAUCUUAGAAUCGAUGCGGGAGUAUAUUUGGGAUGAAGCGCUGCUAAAUCCAGCGCUACACAACGCGUCCGCGCUUCAAUGGGUUUUGUUGACUUUGUUUUCCUCUGUUGUCAUCCUCUAUCUCCCUGCUCAUUCUCUCAACCCCCCCUCCCUCCCUCGUCUCUCUCGAGCCUCACUGUAUCUCUCUCUCUCCCUCUCUCUCUCUCUAGCAUCUCGCUCUAUUCCUCUUUCUGGCUCUCUAGCAUAAAGUCCCUGUUCAGUUCUUGGCGUUCCUUCCUCCUGCUUGCCGCAGUCUUUUUAUCGAGCCGUGUGUCCGCAUCGAGUCAGUGUUGCGGGCUCUUGGGUGGAUGUGAUUGAGGCCGGUGGAGGAACAAUCUGACCCGCCGAGAUGACCACCGUGGCCCCGACGCACCACGAGGGGACAGUGCUGACGCCUCCCCAAGUGCGCCACCUGACCAAUAGGAACCCGUCCCCGUCCCGAGCCUUGGCCAGUCCUGGCAGCACUCCGCCAGCAGAGCUGUCGGAGCUCCUGCGUGACAAGGAGCGGCGUGCCGAGCAGCAGCGCGGCCGCUGCGUGGAGGAGCGGGAGAGGAGGCUGGAGGAGCAGCGGAGGAAGGAGGCCAGGCGCCGCGCCGCCGCCGAGGAGAAGAGGAGGCUGCAGCAGGAGGAGGAGAAGGAGCGGCUGGAGGCGCUGGUCCGCCGGCGGGCGGGGGGCGCGGCGGACAAGAGGGGCCGCGGCGCCGGGGAGGCCGGCCGGGACCCCCCGGAGAACCGGCCAAGAGAUGACCUGGGGGGGACCCCCGGACGGAGCCGAGGGUACCCCUAAGACCCUGCCUUGCCCUGCCAUUGGUUCUGCUCAGCCCAAUGAGCUUCCUGCUGCUUCCAGAGCCAACCAAUCCCGCAACGUAAAUGACUUCCUGACUCCAACCACUCCUGAUCAACCAAUCAACAAGCGGCUUUCCAACUCCUCUGCAGCCAUCCAUUCACCCGAGAGAGGUGAGAGAGGUGAGAGAG
Molecule: RNA transcript, 1439 nt
Organism: Gadus macrocephalus (Pacific cod)
Lineage: Eukaryota; Metazoa; Chordata; Actinopteri; Gadiformes; Gadidae
Gene name: ensconsin-like
Exons: 6
Source: RefSeq, a predicted model, not a curated record